UACAGAGGUCCCAAGCGUUGUUCGGAUUCACUGGGCGUAAAGGGUGCGUAGGCGGUCGGGUAAGUCUGAUGUGAAAUCUCACAGCUUAACUGUGAAACUGCAUUGGAUACUAUUCGGCUAGAGAGUUGGAGGGGGGACUGGAAUUCUUGGUGUAGCAGUGAAAUGCGUAGAUAUCAAGAGGAACACCAGUGGCGAAGGCAGCUCUCUGGGACGGUACUGACACUGAGACGCGAAAGCGUGGGGAGCGAACAGG
This 253-nucleotide ribosomal RNA is filed under the name uncultured bacterium. RNAcentral describes it as "partial 16S ribosomal RNA". It matches the Rfam family "Bacterial small subunit ribosomal RNA", at positions 524 to 776 of the family's 1533-position model. The record is from RNAcentral.